CUUUUAUGCAUCCCUAGUAGUGAGGGAUCCUUAAAAAUGUUUUUUGAAUUAAUGAACAAUAUUACUGUAAUUAUCAUUCAUGGAGCUCUAAAUUCUUAAACUCUUCAUAAACACAUUUUCUCAUUUGAUUCUUAGAACAGUCUUGUGAAGUGGGUGGUAAUAUACCGCUCUCUUAGGGCAGGGACUGACCUUCCAAAGAGGAAGAACCAAUUCCAACCUAGAUUUAUGCGAUGCCAAAUGAAUGAAAAAUUAAUUUUCUACAGAAAUUUCUAGUGCUUGACCACUUCAAAGAUCACUGUAUGUUUAUUUGGAAUGAAUAUUACUCCUAGAAUAGCCAGCACUUUUUAAUUUUUGUUUUAAAGAAAAAUCUCUUCGUUUAAAUACAAAUAGUGAAAAAAAUGAAACUAAUGCUAACACCCAGAAAUUAACAAAAAUGUUAGGUCAAUCUUGUUAGGUAGAUAGUAUUAUUAUCUCCAUUUCAUAGGUGAGGAAACAAGGCAAGAAUGUGCAAGAAACAAGUAUAAUAUCUGAUUAUUUCUAAACAAAUACAAUUGAGUGAAUACAAUUGACUUAUUUUCUAACACUGAUGUUUAUUUUAGAAGGUUAAAAAUUUUUAUUUAUGGCACUGCCUUUAGUUUGCAAGGAAUUGAUUUCAAACCAGGAUGUAAGUCUAAAUUGAAGAUAAAGUGAGGAUAGUCCUUAGCUUAUUUAAGUACUUAAUGCUUAGGAACUGUAACUAAACAAUUGGGACACUUGGAAAGAUAUCACCUGGCUGCAAACUACAGUUAUUUGGUUAACAAAUUUUCACUGGUUUUGGGAAAAACAGACUUAGAAUAGGGAGAAAUACUCCUGUCGUCCAACAUUUUGGUGAUAAUCAAGGACAAAUUUGAAAAAGUUACCUUGCCAAUCAACUACCAAUGGAACAAUGGCUAACAUUGGAGUUUGUGCAUAAGUAUGUGUCAGAACUAUGCAUGGAUUAAGGAAGAAAGGAGACAAUAGGAGAAUGGAACAAAGGUUGUCCUGGGAAAUAAUAAUAAAUUAUUUUCCAAAAGAAGAGUGAAAUAUGGAACACAUGAGAUAAGUUAUAUUUGGUUGAUGAAGUUAUUCUGAAAAAACGCUAUUUGGAAAGGUGAACUUCUGAAACUACAAUAACAUUUCAUCUAUUCCCAGGAAGAAAUAUUCCUAAGGUGAAGAAACUGUGCAACAUGCCCAGAUCAUACAACAAGGAAGUAAUGGAAUUGAGAUUCUAUCCUGGGCGCCAAGCCAUUGCUCUAAAUCUCUAUGCUGCACAAGAUACAGCUGAGUAAAGAUUAGUAACAACAAAAAAAAACAACAAAAAAAGACAAGUCCCAGGGAAGGUUCCUGUGAGUCUUUAUGAUCCACUGGCCAUAAAUUAGAGAGAGGCAAUGAAGACUAAAUGCGGAGAGAUCCAGUUUGCUUCCUAGUCUUAGUACAUUGCCAUCUAGGCAUGAGUAGUCUCCUUGUCUCCGUUGUCUGAGAAUGCUAUCCUCUGGCUCUGAGGUCCAGAGCCACUAAGAGAGAAUGCUGACUUGAUGUCAGAAAAUCAAGACAAGGUCUAGUUUAAUUAUGGAACAUGAAACAAAAACUUUACUCCUCUUUUGAAGUAAAAAUGCAAAUCUGUUCCGUUUUAGAGUGGGAUUUCCCUCCUUUGUUAUAUGGCUUUUAAAUUACUCAUGUUCUUUACAAAUCAAAUAAAUAAAAGAUAAAAAGAAAAAUAAAUA
This 1742-nucleotide long non-coding RNA is filed under the name Homo sapiens (human). RNAcentral's name for it is "HSALNT0376490". The record is from RNAcentral. Lineage: Eukaryota; Metazoa; Chordata; Mammalia; Primates; Hominidae.